Molecule: ribosomal RNA, 253 nt
Filed under: uncultured bacterium
Lineage: Bacteria
Description: partial 16S ribosomal RNA
Rfam family: Bacterial small subunit ribosomal RNA
Source: RNAcentral
UACGUAGGGCGCGAGCGUUGUCCGGAAUUAUUGGGCGUAAAGAGCUCGUAGGCGGCCUGUUGCGUCCGCUGUGAAAGCCCGGGGCUUAACCCCGGGUCGGCAGUGGAUACGGGCAGGCUAGAGGUAGGUAGGGGAGAAUGGAAUUCCCGGUGUAGCGGUGAAAUGCGCAGAUAUCUGGAGGAAUACCGGUGGCGAAGGCGGCAUCCUGGACCGGCAUUGACGCUGAUGAGCGAAAGCGAGGGGAGCAAACAGG